AGAGCUGUGGUGUAGUGGCUAUCACGUCUGCUUCACACGCAGAAGGUCUUGGGUUCGAUCCCCAACAGUUCUA
Zancudomyces culisetae is the source of this 73-nucleotide transfer RNA. It matches the Rfam family "tRNA". From Rfam's summary of the family: Transfer RNA (tRNA) molecules are approximately 80 nucleotides in length. Their secondary structure includes four short double-helical elements and three loops (D, anti-codon, and T loops). Further hydrogen bonds mediate the characteristic L-shaped molecular structure. tRNAs have two regions of fundamental functional importance: the anti-codon, which is responsible for specific mRNA codon recognition, and the 3' end, to which the tRNAs corresponding amino acid is attached (by aminoacyl-tRNA synthetases). tRNAs cope with the degeneracy of the genetic code in two manners: having more than one tRNA (with a specific anti-codon) for a particular amino acid; and 'wobble' base-pairing, i.e. permitting non-standard base-pairing at the 3rd anti-codon position. NCBI's taxonomy places the organism in Eukaryota, Fungi, Kickxellomycota, Harpellomycetes, Harpellales, Legeriomycetaceae. The record is from Rfam.